CCUACGGGUGGCAGCAGUGGGGAAUAUUGGGCAAUGGGCGCAAGCCUGACCCAGCAACGCCGCGUGAAGGAAGAAGGCUUUCGGGUUGUAAACUUCUUUUAAGAGGGAAGAGCCGAAGACGGUACCUCUUGAAUAACCCACGGCUAACUACGUGCCAGCAGCCGCGGUAAUACGUAGGUGGCAAGCGUUGUCCGGAUUUACUGGGGGUAAAGGGCGUGCAGCCGGGAAGACAAGUCAGAUGUGAAAGCCCGCGGCUCAACCGCGGAACUGCAUUUGAAACUGUUUUGCUUGAGUACCGGAGAGGUCAUCGGAAUUCCUUGUGUAGCGGUGAAAUGCGUAGAUAUAAGGAAGAACACCAGUGGCGAAGGCGGAUGACUGGACGGCAACUGACGGUGAGGCGCGAAAGCGUGGGGAGCAAACAGGAUUAGAUACCCCAGUAGUC
Molecule: ribosomal RNA, 442 nt
Filed under: uncultured bacterium
Lineage: Bacteria
Description: partial 16S ribosomal RNA
Rfam family: Bacterial small subunit ribosomal RNA
Source: RNAcentral